This 46-nucleotide ribosomal RNA is filed under the name Inocybe subcarpta. RNAcentral describes it as "partial 18S ribosomal RNA". It matches the Rfam family "Eukaryotic small subunit ribosomal RNA", at positions 1786 to 1831 of the family's 1831-position model. Lineage: Eukaryota; Fungi; Basidiomycota; Agaricomycetes; Agaricales; Inocybaceae. The record is from RNAcentral.
AAGUUGUAACCAGGUUUCCGUAGGUGAACCUGCGGAAGGAUCAAUA